Molecule: long non-coding RNA, 260 nt
Filed under: Sorghum bicolor (sorghum)
Lineage: Eukaryota; Viridiplantae; Streptophyta; Magnoliopsida; Poales; Poaceae
Description: long non-coding RNA (SBIC_LNC000068)
Source: RNAcentral
AAGGUCAAUAAUAGAGCCAAGUGCUUGGCUAUAAGCCAAGUAAUUAGAGCUAAGUUAUACAAUAAGUUGUCUCCUACUUGUCUAUAAAACACAUUCUCUUUCUUCUCUCUUCUCACAACACUUGCUUUUUGGGCCCACUACUACCUAUGCAUCCGUGCCCGGCUUGGUGCUUAGCUAAGAGCCAAGCUAUCAUCUCUCUCCUCUCUUCUCUCCUCCACAUCAGCACUAGCUUGGCUAUAAGCCCAUUAUUGUACCUGCUC